This 650-nucleotide ribosomal RNA is filed under the name uncultured bacterium. RNAcentral's name for it is "bacterial SSU rRNA". It matches the Rfam family "Bacterial small subunit ribosomal RNA", at positions 140 to 806 of the family's 1533-position model. The record is from RNAcentral.
GGGACAACAGUUGGAAACGACUGCUAAUACCGCAUAAGCCCACGGCUCGGCAUCGACCAGAGGGAAAAGGAGCAAUCCGCUUUGAGAUGGCCUCGCGUCCGAUUAGCUAGUUGGUGAGGUAAUGGCCCACCAAGGCGACGAUCGGUAGCCGGACUGAGAGGUUGAACGGCCACAUUGGGACUGAGACACGGCCCAGACUCCUACGGGAGGCAGCAGUGGGGAAUAUUGCACAAUGGGGGAAACCCUGAUGCAGCGACGCCGCGUGGAGGAAGAAGGUCUUCGGAUUGUAAACUCCUGUUGUUGAGGAAGAUAAUGACGGUACUCAACAAGGAAGUGACGGCUAACUACGUGCCAGCAGCCGCGGUAAAACGUAGGUCACAAGCGUUGUCCGGAAUUACUGGGUGUAAAGGGAGCGCAGGCGGGAAGACAAGUUGGAAGUGAAAUCUAUGGGCUCAACCCAUAAACUGCUUUCAAAACUGUUUUUCUUGAGUAGUGCAGAGGUAGGCGGAAUUCCCGGUGUAGCGGUGGAAUGCGUAGAUAUCGGGAGGAACACCAGUGGCGAAGGCGGCCUACUGGGCACCAACUGACGCUGAGGCUCGAAAGUGUGGGUAGCAAACAGGAUUAGAUACCCUGGUAGUCCACACCGUAAA